UAUGGGAUUUGUGUUUUAGCAGAGUUCGAGUAGGUUUUUUUCUGUUUCAAAAUUUUUUUACUGUUUUUUUUUUCACCCGCCUAAUACGUAGGUACGAUAUUAGCGUUUAAAAUAACUCGCAGCGUGACGCGACGCGACGCGACGCGACGCGACGUCGAGUUUCGUUUCGAAAAUACGAUGUACCUCUACCUAUCUAAGAUUUGGUGCUUGCAAAGUUGUAUAGGGGUGUCGGUCUGUCGGUGUACGUAUAUUAUUCUGCAAAGUUAGUAAUUUUCACCUCCCACUUACCAAAGUUGUUACCUGGGGUGAGAAAACAUUUGCCAUUUGCGAUUACCAUUUUAAUUAUGUAUUUUUCCUAUAUCUGCAAAAAAAAGUGGCGCCAGUAGCCGUGAAAAAAUGAAAUAAAAUGAAAAAAAAAAAUGAAUAAAAUAAAUUCGUCGAUCCAAAUAGGUAAUCCUUUUUUUACGGAAAAAUUGUCUUCGGCCCUUCAAAACAUAUCGGCUCCCUAUUUAAGGAACCUCUCAAAGUUGAAAACAUGCACGAAUAAAAACAAAUGAGAAUAGAUCAAAAUCGGGGAAUUUUUUUGAAAAUAUCUCAUUUCUACAUUGCUAUUGUUCUAAUUGGGUAGAUAAUCUUCUUUUUAAGAAAAAAAAAACCUUCGUUGGACCCCCAAAUGACGUUGGUUUUCUCGUACAUAUAAAGCCCCUCAAAUUUGGAAAAAAUAUUAAAAAAUGAAAAAUUGACGCCUGUAAACGUUUUUUGAAGAUCUUUUAACGAACACCGGUAGGUAUAGGUAAUAUAAAAAUAAUGCGUAAACUAUCGAAACGAACACCUAGGCGGAUGUCAGAAAUCAGUCAUAUCCGCAAUAGCAAUAACGUCAAGCUGCGAACCAGUAUGUUGGCGACAGGCGACAUUGAUCGUGAAGUAACGCUCUUCUUCACAAAAGUUUCGCGUAAUGUACGAGUUAAAUAUGGAAAUCAUGAUUUCGAAAAGUUGACGUAACUAAUUUUAAUUCGCGUUUAUACGAUAAUAAUCAUAUUUUGAAAAGUGUUCGCUACCUAUUCGCAUACCUAUCGUGGAAAUUACUUGGAAACAUUUCUUCCACUUGCAAGAAAACAGACGAGCAAGUAGAAAAAAAUACAACUUUGAUAAUUACGAUUAAAAAAACGAAAAUGCCGAAUGAAGAUAUCAUACGCGUAUUGUGGAAUCACGUUACAGAAUAUUGGCAGUUAUUACGUGAAGAACGUAUGCGAGUACAUCGGUUUACCCAUAUGUGUUAUUGGUUUGGUUUUCAACCUGCUUAAUAUAUUGGUAUUUACGAGGAAAGCUAUGAUUUCCUCGUCUAAUCUCAUAUUCGCUCAUUUAGCCUUUAGCCUUCGUAGAUUUCUUGGUUUUACUGGCAAACAUAGGUACCACAUUUUUGGCUUACGUACAUCCAACCUAAAAGUGGUUUCAGCGUACAACUAAGCUACGGAUGGACAAUAGGCCUAUAUUACACUCACGGCGACAAUUUCAUAAUCACGUUUCAGUUCGUAUCUGCAUUCCUGACAGUGCAGUUGGCUGCAUGGAGAUACAUAGCUGUAGUGUAUCCGUUCAAGGAACGACAUUGGUGCAACAAGAGAAUCACACGGAUGUUGUGAUUGCUGGAUAAGUGGAUACGUUACAUGUUGCUUUUUUUUUACUAUACCGAAAUAUUUGUCCUUUCAAAUUGAAGCUAUAAACAAAAAUCAAAACACGGUAGCUUCGUUCAAGCGAAAUGUCAUGAUAUACACAACGGGGGAAAUCGUCAACGGAGUGAUGAUCAGACUAUUGCCGUUAGUCGAGAAUAAUUGUUACUUUAUUAGCAAGGAAAACCCUUCAAGAGAAAGCAACUAAAACUCCAACCGCAAGCAUCCGAACAAACAUGAAAAAUGUGAAAAUGAGACAAAAACAAAGUAACAGGUCAACAGCAGUAUUGUUGACAGUGGUGACAUUAUUUUUCACCAGCGAAUUUCCAAAAGGAGUACUAGUUAUACUGCGAUUGAUGUACGAGGAUUUUUCAGCUCCGUGUUAUAGUUCAUUAAUAGCGAUAUUCGUAACAAUGAGUAAUAUCAAUAUAUCCAUUACAUUCGUGGUAUAUUACCUAUAUGUUAGGUCGACAGUUCAGAAUCGCAUUUAAAUCUUUGUUCAACUGUAAUGUUGACAAUACUGCGUCUGAUCAAAAACAAACCACUCUUGCUUCGAGUAAUAAGCAUACAUCGAGGAGUUCGGUACAGAGGUAUUAAUUUAUGUAAAUUUACGCAUUCGUCGUUUUCCUCAUCAUAAAUGAAUACAACGAAUACCACAUUAUUAUUAUUUUCUCAUUCGCGAUGCUUCUCAAACCUGCGGGACCCUCUCUGUUUGAGUGACUCGUGAAAAUCGGUUUGUACAGUUAGGUCGUUUCUCGCUUCCUCGCUUCGUUGAUUUGGUGAUUUGAGGAUGCUCCAGCGAUGACAAAAAUUCAGAAACAGUUACUAAAAAAAGGCUCGAAUGUCCAUUUCUUUUGUAGCCAGGGUGUUCACUAAAAUCCAGAAAGCUGAAUUUCUGUUUUUUUUUUUUUUUUUUUUUUUUUUUUUUUUUUUUUUA
Planococcus citri (citrus mealybug) is the source of this 2604-nucleotide long non-coding RNA. RefSeq lists it as uncharacterized. Lineage: Eukaryota; Metazoa; Arthropoda; Insecta; Hemiptera; Pseudococcidae. The transcript has 2 exons. The record is from RefSeq and is a predicted model, not a curated record.